This 253-nucleotide ribosomal RNA is filed under the name uncultured bacterium. Its description in RNAcentral is "partial 16S ribosomal RNA". It matches the Rfam family "Bacterial small subunit ribosomal RNA", at positions 524 to 776 of the family's 1533-position model. The record is from RNAcentral.
UACAGAGGGGGCAAGCGUUGUUCGGAAUUACUGGGCGUAAAGGGCGCGUAGGCGGCCUGUUAAGUCGAACGUGAAAUCCCCGGGCUCAACCCGGGAACUGCGUCCGAUACUGGCAGGCUUGAAUCCGGGAGAGGGAUGUGGAAUUCCAGGUGUAGCGGUGAAAUGCGUAGAUAUCUGGAGGAACACCGGUGGCGAAGGCGACAUCCUGGACCGGCAUUGACGCUGAGGCGCGAAAGCGUGGGGAGCGAACAGG